This 95-nucleotide transfer RNA is filed under the name Candidatus Hydrogenedentota bacterium. Its description in RNAcentral is "tRNA-Sec". It matches the Rfam family "Selenocysteine transfer RNA". The record is from RNAcentral. Lineage: Bacteria; Pseudomonadati; Candidatus Hydrogenedentota.
GGAGGCGAAUGUGGCCUGGUGGCCGCCCUGGUCUUCAAAACCAGUGGCCCGCAUUCCGUGUGGGCGGUGGGUUCGAUUCCCAUCCGCCUCCGCCA